This 76-nucleotide transfer RNA is filed under the name Bifidobacterium simiarum. RNAcentral's name for it is "tRNA-Ala". It matches the Rfam family "tRNA". Rfam says of the family: Transfer RNA (tRNA) molecules are approximately 80 nucleotides in length. Their secondary structure includes four short double-helical elements and three loops (D, anti-codon, and T loops). Lineage: Bacteria; Bacillati; Actinomycetota; Actinomycetes; Bifidobacteriales; Bifidobacteriaceae. The record is from RNAcentral.
GGGGCUAUAGCGCAGUUGGUAGCGCAUCUGCUUUGCAAGCAGAGGGUCGCCGGUUCGAACCCGGCUAGCUCCACUA